CCGAGUGGUCGGUACGAUUAUUGGACCUAAAGCAUCCGUAGCCGGCCUUACAAGUCCUCCGUUAAAUCCAGCUGCUUAACAGAUGGGCUGCGGAGGAUACUAUAAGACUAGGAGGCAGGAGAGGCAAGCGGUACUCAGUGGGUAGGGGUAAAAUCCGUUGAUCCAUUGAAGACCACCAGUGGCGAAGGCGGCUUGCCAGAAUGCGCUCGACGGUGAGGGAUGAAAGCUGGGGGAGCAAACCGG
Molecule: ribosomal RNA, 243 nt
Filed under: uncultured bacterium
Lineage: Bacteria
Description: partial 16S ribosomal RNA
Rfam family: Archaeal small subunit ribosomal RNA
Source: RNAcentral